AUUGAACGCUGGCGGCAGGCCUAACACAUGCAAGUCGAGCGGAUGAAGGGAGCUUGCUCCUGGAUUCAGCGGCGGACGGGUGAGUAAUGCCUAGGAAUCUGCCUGGUAGUGGGGGAUAACGUCCGGAAACGGGCGCUAAUACCGCAUACGUCCUGAGGGAGAAAGUGGGGGAUCUUCGGACCUCACGCUAUCAGAUGAGCCUAGGUCGGAUUAGCUAGUUGGUGGGGUAAAGGCCUACCAAGCCGACGAUCCGUAACUGGUCUGAGAGGAUGAUCAGUCACACUGGAACUGAGACACGGUCCAGACUCCUACGGGAGGAAGCAGUGGGGAAUAUUAGACAAUGGGCGGAAGCCUGAUCCAGCCAUGCCGCGUGUGUGAAGAAGGUCUGCGGAUUGUAAAGCACUUUAAGUUGGGAGGAAGGGCAGUAAGUUAAUACCUUGCUGUUUUGACGUUACCAACAGAAUAAGCACCGGCUAACUUCGUG
RNAcentral lists this ribosomal RNA (484 nucleotides) under uncultured bacterium. RNAcentral's name for it is "partial 16S ribosomal RNA". It matches the Rfam family "Bacterial small subunit ribosomal RNA", at positions 30 to 507 of the family's 1533-position model. The record is from RNAcentral.